Molecule: ribosomal RNA, 460 nt
Filed under: uncultured bacterium
Lineage: Bacteria
Description: partial 16S ribosomal RNA
Rfam family: Bacterial small subunit ribosomal RNA
Source: RNAcentral
CCUACGGGUGGCAGCAGUGAGGAAUAUUGGUCAAUGGACGCGAGUCUGAACCAGCCAAGUCGCGUGAAGGAUGACUGCCCUAUGGGUUGUAAACUUCUUUUAUAUGGGAAUAAAACGUUCCACGUGUGGGAUUUUGUCUGUACCUUAUGAAUAAGCAUCGGCUAACUCCGUGCCAGCAGCCGCGGUAAUACGGAGGAUUCGAGCGUUAUCCGGAUUUAAUGGGUUUAAAGGGAGCGUAGGUGGAGUGUUAAGUCAGUUGUGAAAGUUAGCGGCUCAACCCUAAAAUUGCAGUUGAAACUGGCAGCCUUGAGUGCAGGAGAGGUGGGCGGAAUUCGUGGUGUAGCGGUGAAAUGCUUAGAUAUCACGAAGAACACCGAUUGCGAAGGCAGUUCACUGGACUGCAACUGACGCUGAGGCUCGAAAGUGUGGGGAUCAAACAGGAUUAGAUACCCUUGUAGUC